AAUUCUCAACCCUCCUAUUUUGUAAUGAAAUAGGUUCUGGGCUUGGAUUAUGGCUGUCUGUCGGCUCGUGACGAGCCGGCUCAGCUGAAAUACACGAGCAACCCAGCUGAAACAGCGACGGCUUGACUCGGCGUAAUAACCUAUUUCGCUGAGGACGUCGCACUGUACGUUUCAAGUAGCGGUGUUUCUAAUGCAUAUUCAACUUAAGC
Molecule: unclassified non-coding RNA, 209 nt
Filed under: uncultured Sporidiobolales
Lineage: Eukaryota; Fungi; Basidiomycota; Microbotryomycetes; Sporidiobolales
Description: sequence contains ITS2
Source: RNAcentral